GCCAAAGCUAGCCCAAUCACCCACAAACACAACUAAUAUUAUGAAAGUAAAAUAAAACAUUUAGUCACCUCAUAAAAGUAUAGGAGAUAGAAAUUUAACUUGGCGCUAUAGAGAAAGUACCGCAAGGGAAAGAUGAAAGAAUAAAACUAAAAGCACUAUACAGCAAAGAUUACCCCUUGUACCUUUUGCAUAAUGAGUUAGCUAGUAAUAACCUAACAAAGAGAACUUCAGCUAGGCCCCCCGAAACCAGACGAGCUACCCACGAACAAUCUAUUGCAGGAUGAACUCGUCUAUGUUGCAAAAUAGUGAGAAGAUUUGUGGGUAGAGGUGAAAAGCCUAACGAGCCUGGUGAUAGCUGGUUGCCCAGAACAGAAUCUUAGUUCAACUUUAAACUUGCCUCAAAACCCUAAAAUUCCAAUGUAAGUUUAAAACAUAGUCUAAAGGGGUACAGCUUUUUAGAAUUAGGAUACAGCCUUAAUUAGAGAGUAAGCACAUAACACUAAACCAUAGUUGGCCUAAAAGCAGCCACCAAUUAAGAAAGCGUUCAAGCUCAACAAUUAAAACAUCUUAAUGUCAAAAUAAUGCAACCAACUCCUAAUUUAAAACUGGGCUAAUCUAUUUGAUAAUAGAAGCAAUAAUGCUAAUAUGAGUAACAAGAAGUAUUUCUCCCGUGCAUAAGCUUAUAUCAGAACGGAUAACCACUGAUAGUUAACAACAAGAUAAAUAUAACCUAAUUACAAGCAAAAUAUCAAACUAAUUGUUAACCCAACACAGGCAUGCAAUUCAGGGAAAGAUUAAAAGAAGUAAAAGGAACUCGGCAAACACAAGCCCCGCCUGUUUACCAAAAACAUCACCUCUAGCAUUUUCAGUAUUAGAGGCACUGCCUGCCCAGUGACACUAGUUAAACGGCCGCGGUAUCCUGACCGUGCAAAGGUAGCAUAAUCAUUUGUUCCCUAAAUAGGGACUUGUAUGAAUGGCCACACGAGGGCUUUACUGUCUCUUACCUCCGAUCCGUGAAAUUGACCUUCCCGUGAAGAGGCGGGAAUAUGACAAUAAGACGAGAAGACCCUAUGGAGCUUUAAUUAACCAGCCCAAAGAGAUCUUAAUAACCAACCGACAGGGUAUAACAAACCUCUACCAUGGGCUGACAAUUUAGGUUGGGGUGACCUCGGAGAACAAAACAACCUCCGAGUGAUUUAAAUCUAGACUAACCAGUCGAAAGUAUUACAUCACUUAUUGAUCCAAAGACUUGAUCAACGGAACAAGUUACCCUAGGGAUAACAGCGCAAUCCUAUUUCAGAGUCCAUAUCGACAAUAGGGUUUACGACCUCGAUGUUGGAUCAGGACAUCCCGAUGGUGCAGCAGCUAUCAAAGGUUCGUUUGUUCAACGAUUAAAGUCCUACGUGAUCUGAGUUCAGACCGGAGUAAUCCAGGUCGGUUUCUAUCUAUUACAUAAUUUCUCCCAGUACGAAAGGACAAGAGAAAUAGGGCCCACUUUACCAAAGCGCCCUUAACCAAAUAGAUGAUACAAUCUCAAUCUAGACAGUUUAUCUAAAUACAUUACCCGAGAGCUCGGGUUU
Molecule: ribosomal RNA, 1580 nt
Filed under: Panthera uncia (snow leopard)
Lineage: Eukaryota; Metazoa; Chordata; Mammalia; Carnivora; Felidae
Description: 16S ribosomal RNA
Rfam family: Bacterial large subunit ribosomal RNA
Source: RNAcentral